GGACCGGUUCAACUGAGAUCCGGUACCUAACCGAUCGAUUUUAAUCGAAUCAUCUCAGAUCAAUUGUGUGACCGAUCUAAUAUAAAACUGAUCCAAUUAGGUUAUUGGAUCUCAGUUGAACCGGUCU
This 127-nucleotide microRNA precursor is filed under the name Glycine max (soybean). RNAcentral describes it as "miR4383 stem-loop (gma-MIR4383)". Lineage: Eukaryota; Viridiplantae; Streptophyta; Magnoliopsida; Fabales; Fabaceae. The record is from miRBase by way of RNAcentral.